GUCAACAAGUAAAACGUUGGCAGUAGGUGUUAAAGGAGAGACGAGGACGCAUCAGCAGUCACGAAAAAUUUGUUUCUUUGCGCCCCAAGAGACAUCGGAUCUACACAACGAGACGUCUAAAAUGCAGCCUUUAGCGACCUCCAGCCCAUUGUCAUCAACGAUGCGGAAUUCACUUCUGUGCAGCCCCUCGUUUAAUGAAUCGACGUUGAGGUCACAAUCUUUUAACGAAUCGACGUUGAGUACGCCCCCAUUCGGUAAUUCGACGUGCAGACCGCACUCACAUUGCGUUCCCAGGAGGUUACCCAUCAAGGUCUUACCACGGACUUCAACCUGUGAUUCGACGUGGAGAUCGCCCUCGUUCAACGAUUCGACGUGGGGGCAGCACGCACAGUGCGUUCCCAGACGGCUACCGAUCACAGUACAGGCGGCACCACAUUCCUCGCUACUACAGAUGCAGAAUCCUUGCAACCAAUCCCGGGCAGUGGGAUGCUACGCUCCUCAGAGCUUUCAGUACCAGAUGACACAGCACACAGUUACGACGACGACUACAACGACAGAGUUCCGGAUGAUCUCUGGGGUCCAGUCAUCACAGAUAUGUCCACAUCAGUGGAUGUGACUUCUGCAGCAGUUAAAAAUUUCUACAGCAUUGGCAACACCACAGGCCCUGCAGCUCCACGUGUGGACAGCGCUCUGCAGUAUGGGGCUCGUAACCCUCUUGGGGUAGUCGAGCUGCCACUACUUGGACAUCAAUCAACGCCAAGGAACUAGAUGGAUUUCCCACCAGCUUCCUAGAACAUCUACCCAAUGUAGAGUAGUAGCAAAAUUAAAUAUUAAAUGAUUUCAUAUAGUUUCAUGAUUUUCUCGUAUUAGUAGUACAGAUGCAGGAAACGUCAGUGGAAAACGUUUAACAGCGAUUCAUUUAUAGUUUCGAUAAUUUGCCAGGAAAUAAGUAACUUUUAAAAUAAAUGAGACUGAUUCUGUAAUUUAUUUUCAUAUCUUACUUUCAUAUUGUGAUUUAAGCCUAAAACAAUUCAUUGCAGGCAAUGUUUUUAUUGUAACAUGAAUUUUUAGUCUAAUAAAGCUUCUUUGUACACUUUU
Long non-coding RNA from Schistocerca gregaria, 1098 nucleotides. RefSeq lists it as uncharacterized. NCBI's taxonomy places the organism in Eukaryota, Metazoa, Arthropoda, Insecta, Orthoptera, Acrididae. The record is from RefSeq and is a predicted model, not a curated record. The transcript has 3 exons.